UACGGGGGGGGCAAGCGUUGUUCGGAUUUACUGGGCGUAAAGGGCGCGUAGGCGGCCCGCCAAGUCACUUGUGAAAUCUCCGGGCUUAACCCGGAGCGGCCAAGUGAUACUGACGGGCUGGAGUGCGGAAGGGGCCACCGGAAUUCUCGGUGUAGCGGUGAAAUGCGUAGAUAUACGGAGGAACACCAGGGGCGAAGGCGGAUCGCUGGGCCAACACUGACGCUGAGAAGCGAAAGCAUGGGGAGCGAACAGG
Molecule: ribosomal RNA, 253 nt
Filed under: uncultured bacterium
Lineage: Bacteria
Description: partial 16S ribosomal RNA
Rfam family: Bacterial small subunit ribosomal RNA
Source: RNAcentral